Syngnathus acus (greater pipefish) is the source of this 2115-nucleotide long non-coding RNA. RefSeq lists it as uncharacterized. The record is from RefSeq and is a predicted model, not a curated record. The transcript has 2 exons. Lineage: Eukaryota; Metazoa; Chordata; Actinopteri; Syngnathiformes; Syngnathidae.
AUAUACGUAUAUAUUUAUUAUAAAUAUAUUUGAUUAUUUGGCAUCUUGUUUUAAUCAGUUAUUUUCUGAAACCUUUCUUUUUUUGUAGUUGUUGAUAGUGGACGAGUAUUACAUGUGAGACACUUGACUCACAGCAGUAACCUCAAUUAAAAACCAAUCUACCUUUUCAGACCGGUCUGAACAGUUACUGAAUUUCCUCAGCUCAGGUUUUCUUCACACCAAAUUCCAACAUCAAUAUCUGCUAAACUUUGCCUUCUUUUUCCCAGCCAAAGUUAAAAAUACAUAUAACCAUUGUUACUUGGCUAUUUGUCUUUUUUUUUUUAAACAUUACAGUUCAUGUAGUGUAAACUGAAAACAUGAGUUAUAUGUACAGUGGAAGUCCAACGUGACAAAAUGCAACAGUUUGGAGUUUUUUGAGUUCACUGCCACCAUACAGCACUCAUAUCUCAAAUGUUCACAAGGGUUUAAAUCUCAGAUGAGUCACCCCGUCACUCAAGGCAUUGCUGUAUUAUACAGUAUUUAGGAUUUGAGCAGCGACCGCUGCGAGGUUCCUAUUGCUUUUGUAGAAAUAAUUUAUUUUUGAAUGUUUAAUCUUUGCUACUUGUAUGACCAAUACAGUAGGUUUUGGCCAACUGGACUCUCGAAUAGCUACACAAGACAUAUUGCGGUGUUUUUUUUUGGCGAUUCCACUGUACAUAAUACUGUCAUGUUACAUCAAAGUAAAGUGUGGGGGGGGGGGGGGGGGUGAAACAGAAUGACAUGAAGAAUGAUUAAAAACUUUAGGUUUCUUGCUCUGGAUCUGCUAAGCCAGUCAUUUACAGCUUUUUUUGAGCCCAUGGUCAACACUCUUGAGACCGCUGGGUCAAAAAGAACCCAAUUUGGGUCCAACAUUGGACCCAGCUUGCUAGGAUGUUUUGUUAAAAAAAGGGGGUUAUUUUGUACAACCCAAAAAGUCAGUUCAAAUUGAACUACCUGGGUCAAUCCAAUGUUUAUAAUAACUCUAUCCAAGCAAGAACGCAAUAUAAGCAUAUAAUAUUUUACUCUGAAUGCUACUGUUAAUUUCAAUUUGAAAGUUUUACUGUUCAUUUCUGAAAGUCACGCGCUAAAAAUAUUGUACUUAUCUGUUGGUGUUUGAGACGCCAUGCAGGUGAGGUGCAUUCAUCCUCGCUGACUGCACAUAGAAGGGCAAACUUGUUAAAUUCGUCCUGCACACAAAUUAAUGAAGCUGCACUGAGCUUUCGGCCGUAUGUAUGUAAUCACUUAAGUCGUCAAUAUUUAAGUUACAUUUCAUUUCACAGUUGCGGACACUCACUACUCCCAAAUCACUCUCACCUCAUUUGACUCUUUUGGAACUAACACAGAAAAUGAGGAUUUUUAAAAAAGAAUGAGUAAAUGUAGACACUUUUGUUAUUCUUCUCAGAAAACGUGCCAUCUUUUUUCUGAUCUACUGACCUCAAAUCUUUGGCCUUGUUCUUGUACUGUUUGUUUGUGAACUAUACCAUCAAUAUGUCAAGCAGGACCUUACAGUCUGCAUGUUAUUCGUAUGAAACUGAGCCAUGAUUUUGCAAAAACGUACACAAUGACACCUCAUUCACGCUGACAUGGUGUGAUUACCAGCAAGAUUAAUCUGCCAGAGCCACAGUCUCUCAAAGCGUUUUUGGUGAAUGUUUUUUUUUUCUUUCCCUAUCUAAGCAGCAACAUAUGGGCCUUUGCUCCCUGUUCGACAAACUCUGCAGGCUGUGUUAUUGAUGCUUAUUUGUCAUUCUAAUGACUGUAAUAGUUCUGAUUUCAUAGCCUUCUACUGCGUCAGUGUUUUUUUUCCUGUGCUUGUUGCUGACACACGCGUGGCUGUGCGAUAACCUCCUGAGAGGUUGCUAUAGUAAGCCAUAAUUGCCUCAAUUAACAAUUGUUUGCAUACAUCCUUGCAUAUCCUCGCUUUGUAGGCACCUUUUUAUAGAUAACAACAGCAAAAAUAAAGCCAGCUGGCUAAAUGUAACUAAAACUGAAAUUAAUUCAAGCUGCUACAAAAUCUGUUUUAUGUGUGUCAACGUAAUCUAUGUGACAAGGCAUUUUCUUCUCAAUUAAAACAACAUUAAAAACCUAAUAUGAAAAGAA